GAGGGUACAGCCCAGUGAUAGAAUGCAUGCCUAGCAUGCAUGAGGUCCUAGGUUCAAUCCCUAGUACCUCCA
Molecule: transfer RNA, 72 nt
Filed under: Camelus bactrianus (Bactrian camel)
Lineage: Eukaryota; Metazoa; Chordata; Mammalia; Artiodactyla; Camelidae
Also listed under: 2 other names
Rfam family: tRNA
About the family: Transfer RNA (tRNA) molecules are approximately 80 nucleotides in length.
Source: Rfam by way of RNAcentral